UCUGACUCAGCUUCCCAAACCGGCUCGGUUUCCGAGGAGCGAGGCAGUCUCCCCUCGCCGACGCGCGCUGCGGGCCGUCCCGUCCUGCAGGAACAGUCUCUACGGCAGCCCUGGCUCCUUCUGGGCCAGCGCGAGGGCUGCUUCCAGAAAGAACAUAACAACCGUUCCCUUCACCUUCUGGGCUUUGGAACACGGGCCAGAAACUUCUACAGAUUCAACCUCCUCCGUCUCCAUUUCCCGAGCAAACACGUGACAACAACCUUCCCAUGUGAUGUCCCAGCCCAGGGGACUCGAUCAGAUGCACGCUCUGGUCCCGCCCAACCCUAACAUACAGCCACCAGACGAGAGUCCCUCCGUGCCCACGCUGACCCGUGCACGCUGACCUUUAGCUCAUCGUCACCGUUCUCGCCGGAGCCUCGCCAGGCCUUGAUGACAAGGACGGUGCCAUGUGGCCAUCACCUCUUCCAGCCAUGAAGGACAAAGCAUUCUACCCCUCUGGAGGAUGCAGCAUUCAAAGCUUCAUCUUGGGAUCAGAAUGACCAAGUCUGCAAGCACCUUGAUAUUGGACUUUCCAGCCUCCAGAACCGUGAGCAAAUCAAUUUCUGUUCUUUAUAAAAUUACCCAGUCUGUGAUAUUCUGUUAUGGCAGCACAUAAUGGACUAAUAUAGUCACUUCCUCUCGUGUUCCAUUGGUGAAAACUAGUUCAUGGCCCCACUA
Microcebus murinus (gray mouse lemur) is the source of this 717-nucleotide non-coding RNA. The record is from RefSeq and is a predicted model, not a curated record. NCBI's taxonomy places the organism in Eukaryota, Metazoa, Chordata, Mammalia, Primates, Cheirogaleidae.